AUUGAACGCUGGCGGCAUGCUUUACACAUGCAAGUCGAACGGUAACAGGCCGCAAGGUGCUGACGAGUGGCGAACGGGUGAGUAAUGCAUCGGAACGUGCCCAGUCGUGGGGGAUAACUACUCGAAAGAGUAGCUAAUACCGCAUACGAUCUAUGGAUGAAAGCGGGGGACCGUAAGGCCUCGCGCGAUUGGAGCGGCCGAUGUCAGAUUAGGUAGUUGGUGGGGUAAAGGCUCACCAAGCCAACGAUCUGUAGCUGGUCUGAGAGGACGACCAGCCACACUGGGACUGAGACACGGCCCAGACUCCUACGGGAGGCAGCAGUGGGGAAUUUUGGACAAUGGGCGCAAGCCUGAUCCAGCAAUGCCGCGUGCAGGAAGAAGGCCUUCGGGUUGUAAACUGCUUUUGUACGGAACGAAACGGCUCUGGUUAAUACCCGGGGCUAAUGACGGUACCGUAAGAAUAAGCACCGGCUAACUA
This 478-nucleotide ribosomal RNA is filed under the name uncultured bacterium. Its description in RNAcentral is "partial 16S ribosomal RNA". It matches the Rfam family "Bacterial small subunit ribosomal RNA", at positions 30 to 503 of the family's 1533-position model. The record is from RNAcentral.